RNAcentral lists this ribosomal RNA (490 nucleotides) under uncultured bacterium. RNAcentral's name for it is "bacterial SSU rRNA". It matches the Rfam family "Bacterial small subunit ribosomal RNA", at positions 15 to 507 of the family's 1533-position model. The record is from RNAcentral.
GAUCAUGGCUCAGAUUGAACGCUGGCGGCAUGCUUUACACAUGCAAGUCGAACGGUAACAGGUUAAGCUGACGAGUGGCGAACGGGUGAGUAAUGCAUCGGAACGUGCCCGGUCGUGGGGGAUAACGCAGCGAAGGCUGCGCUAAUACCGCAUACGACCUGAGGAUGAAAGCGGGGGACCGUAAGGCCUCGCGCGAUCGGAGCGGCCGAUGUCAGAUUAGGUAGUUGGUGGGGUAAAGGCUCACCAAGCCGACGAUCUGUAGCUGGUCUGAGAGGACGACCAGCCACACUGGGACUGAGACACGGCCCAGACUCCUACGGGAGGCAGCAGUGGGGAAUUUUGGACAAUGGGCGCAAGCCUGAUCCAGCAAUGCCGCGUGCAGGAAGAAGGCCUUCGGGUUGUAAACUGCUUUUGUACGGAGCGAAAAGGUCUUUCCUAAUACGGGAGGCUGAUGACGGUACCGUAAGAAUAAGCACCGGCUAACUACGUG